GACGAACGCUGGCGGCGUGCUUAACACAUGCAAGUGGAGCGACGAACCAGGGCUUGCCCUGGGGCAAAGCCGCGAACGGGUGAGUAACACGUGGGUAACCUGCCCCGAUGACCGGGACAACUCGAGGAAACUCGGGCUAAUACCGGAUGUGUCCGUGCGCCAUCAGGCGUGCGGGGAAAGGUAGCUUCGGCCUCCGCAUCGGGAUGGGCCCGCGGCCCAUUAGCUUGUUGGCGGGGUAACGGCCUACCAAGGCGACGAUGGGUAGCUGGUCUGAGAGGACGAUCAGCCACACUGGGACUGAGACACGGCCCAGACUCCUACGGGAGGCAGCAGUGGGGAAUCUUGCGCAAUGCGCGAAAGCGUGACGCAGCAACGCCGCGUGGGGGAAGAAGGCCUUCGGGUUGUAAACCUCUUUCAGUUGGGACGAAGCUCCGUCGGUGAAUAGCCGACUGGAGUGACGGUACCUUCAGAAGAAGCCCCGGCUAACUACGUGCCAGCAGCCGCGGUAAUACGUAGGGGGCAAGCGUUGUCCGGAAUCAUUGGGCGUAAAGCGCGUGUAGGCGGUCCGGUAAGUCCGCUCUGAAAGCCCGGGGCUCAACCCCGGGAGGCGGGUGGAUACUGCCGGACUAGAGUCCGGAAGAGGCGAGUGGAAUUCCUGGUGUAGCGGUGAAAUGCGCAGAUAUCAGGAGGAACACCGAUGGCGAAGGCAGCUCGCUGGGACGGUACUGACGCUGAGACGCGAAAGCGUGGGGAGCGAGCAGGAUUAGAUACCCUGGUAGUCCACGCCGUAAACGAUGGGCACUAGGUGUGGGGGGUGUCGACUCCCUCCGUGCCGACGCUAACGCAUUAAGUGCCCCGCCUGGGGAGUACGGCCGCAAGGCUA
Molecule: ribosomal RNA, 883 nt
Filed under: uncultured bacterium
Lineage: Bacteria
Description: bacterial SSU rRNA
Rfam family: Bacterial small subunit ribosomal RNA
Source: RNAcentral